UGGGGAAUAUUGGACAAUGGGCGGAAGCCUGAUCCAGCAACGCCGCGUGAGGGAUGACGGCCUUCGGGUUGUAAACCUCUUUCAGUACCGACGAAGCGAAAGUGACGGUAGGUACAGAAGAAGGACCGGCCAACUACGUGCCAGCAGCCGCGGUAAUACGUAGGGUCCGAGCGUUGUCCGGAAUUAUUGGGCGUAAAGGGCUCGUAGGCGGUUUGUCGCGUCGGGAGUGAAAACAGCGGGCUUAACUCGUUGCUUGCUUUCGAUACGGGCAGACUAGAGGUAUGCAGGGGAGAAUGGAAUUCCUGGUGUAGCGGUGAAAUGCGCAGAUAUCAGGAGGAACACCGGUGGCGAAGGCGGUUCUCUGGGCAUUACCUGACGCUGAGGAGCGAAAGUGUGGGGAGCGAACAGGAUUAGAUACCCUGGUAGUCCACACCGUAAACGUUGGGCGCUAGGUGUGGGGUCCUUUCCACGGAUUCCGUGCCGUAGCUAACGCAUUUAAGCGCCCCGCCUGGGGAGUACGGCCGCAAGCUAAAACUC
This 537-nucleotide ribosomal RNA is filed under the name uncultured bacterium. RNAcentral describes it as "partial 16S ribosomal RNA". It matches the Rfam family "Bacterial small subunit ribosomal RNA", at positions 355 to 902 of the family's 1533-position model. The record is from RNAcentral.